RNAcentral lists this ribosomal RNA (435 nucleotides) under uncultured Oscillospiraceae bacterium. RNAcentral describes it as "bacterial SSU rRNA". It matches the Rfam family "Bacterial small subunit ribosomal RNA", at positions 341 to 792 of the family's 1533-position model. Lineage: Bacteria; Bacillati; Bacillota; Clostridia; Eubacteriales; Oscillospiraceae. The record is from RNAcentral. RNAcentral also lists the same sequence under 1 other name.
ACGGGAGGCAGCAGUGGGGGAUAUUGCACAAUGGAGGAAACUCUGAUGCAGCGACGCCGCGUGAGGGAAGACGGUCUUCGGAUUGUAAACCUCUGUCUUUAGGGACGAAAAAAUGACGGUACCUAAGGAGGAAGCCACGGCUAACUACGUGCCAGCAGCCGCGGUAAUACGUAGGUGGCAAGCGUUGUCCGGAAUUACUGGGUGUAAAGGGAGCGUAGGCGGGGAGACAAGUUGAAUGUUUAAACUAUCGGCUCAACUGAUAGUCGCGUUCAAAACUAUCACUCUUGAGUGCAGUAGAGGUAGGCGGAAUUCCUAGUGUAGCGGUGAAAUGCGUAGAUAUUAGGAGGAACACCAGUGGCGAAGGCGGCCUACUGGGCUGUAACUGACGCUGAGGCUCGAAAGCGUGGGUAGCAAACAGGAUUAGAUACCCUGGUA